Molecule: ribosomal RNA, 465 nt
Filed under: uncultured bacterium
Lineage: Bacteria
Description: partial 16S ribosomal RNA
Rfam family: Bacterial small subunit ribosomal RNA
Source: RNAcentral
CCUACGGGAGGCAGCAGUGGGGAAUAUUGCGCAAUGGGCGAAAGCCUGACGCAGCGACGCCGCGUGAGGGAUGAAGGUCUUCGGAUCGUAAACCUCUGUCAGCAGGGAAGAACGGUCGCUGUGCUAAUCAGCAGUGAAUUGACGGUACCUGCAAAGGAAGCCACGGCUAACUCCGUGCCAGCCGCCGCGGUAAUACGGAGGGUGCGAGCGUUAAUCGGAAUUACUGGGCGUAAAGCGCGCGUAGGCGGUAUGUCAAGUCAAGGGUGAAAUCCCCGCGCUCAACGUGGGAACUGCCUUUGAAACUGGCAAACUGGAGUGUGUGAGAGGAUAGUGGAAUUCCAGGUGUAGGAGUGAAAUCCGUAGAUAUCUGGAGGAACAUCAGUGGCGAAGGCGACUAUCUGGCACAUAACUGACGCUGAGGAGCGAAAGCGUGGGUAGCAAACAGGAUUAGAUACCCUUGUAGUC